This 484-nucleotide ribosomal RNA is filed under the name uncultured bacterium. RNAcentral describes it as "partial 16S ribosomal RNA". It matches the Rfam family "Bacterial small subunit ribosomal RNA", at positions 30 to 507 of the family's 1533-position model. The record is from RNAcentral.
AUUGAACGCUGGCGGCAGGCCUAACACAUGCAAGUCGAGCGGAUGAAGGGAGCUUGCUCCUGGAUUCAGCGGCGGACGGGUGAGUAAUGCCUAGGAAUCUGCCUGGUAGUGGGGGAUAACGUCCGGAAACGGGCGCUAAUACCGCAUACGUCCUGAGGGAGAAAGUGGGGGAUCUUCGGACCUCACGCUAUCAGAUGAGCCUAGGUCGGAUUAGCUAGUUGGUGGGGUAAAGGCCUACCAAGGCGACGAUCCGUAACUGGUCUGAGAGGAUGAUCGGUCACACUGGAGCGUGAACACCGUCCAGGGUCCUAAGGGAGGGAGCAGUGGGGAAUAUUGGGCAGCAGUCGAAAGCAUGAUCCAACCAUGCCGCGUGUGUGAAGGAGGUCUUCGGAUUGUAAAGCACUCUUAGUUGGGGGAAAGGGCAGUAAGUUGAUACGAUGCGGUUGUGACGGUAACAGGAGAAGAAGCACCGGCUAACUACGUG